ACUCCUACGGGAGGCAGCAGUGGGAAUAUUGCACAAUGGGCGCAAGCCUGAUGCAGCCAUGCCGCGUGUGUGAAGAAGGCCUUCGGGUUGUAAAGCACUUUCAGUCGUGAGGAAGGUAGUGUAGUUAAUAGCGCAUUUAUUUGAUCGUUAGCGACAGAAGAAGCACCGGCUAACUCCGUGCCAGCAGCCGCGGUAAUACGGAGGGUGCGAGCGUUAAUCGGAAUUACUGGGCGUAAAGCGCAUGCAGGUGGUUUGUUAAGUCAGAUGUGAAAGCCGGCU
Molecule: ribosomal RNA, 279 nt
Filed under: uncultured bacterium
Lineage: Bacteria
Description: partial 16S ribosomal RNA
Rfam family: Bacterial small subunit ribosomal RNA
Source: RNAcentral